This 70-nucleotide transfer RNA is filed under the name Addax nasomaculatus. RNAcentral's name for it is "transfer RNA-Thr". The record is from RNAcentral. RNAcentral also lists the same sequence under 1 other name. Lineage: Eukaryota; Metazoa; Chordata; Mammalia; Artiodactyla; Bovidae.
GUCUUUGUAGUAUAUUAAAUACAUUGGUCUUGUAAACCAAAAAAGGAGAACAACCAACCUCCCCAAGACU